Long non-coding RNA from Pseudopipra pipra, 1646 nucleotides. RefSeq lists it as uncharacterized. The record is from RefSeq and is a predicted model, not a curated record. Lineage: Eukaryota; Metazoa; Chordata; Aves; Passeriformes; Pipridae. The transcript has 2 exons.
CGGGGGAGCGUCUCCUCCAGGUGAGCCUUCGGAACCCAAAAUGCCGGGGGGGCUCAGGUCGGGGCCGCUUUUCGGGCCCGGAGUUGGACGGAGCCCUCGGCGGCUCCCGCUUCCCGCCAGGAACGUUCUCGGGGCUCCCUGGGCAGUCCCAGCUGGGCAGGGAACGCGGGCCGGGAGGAGGUCGGAGCGACAGACAGCGACCCAGCCCUGCUUGGGCUUCCUAUUGCCAGGGGAUGGAGGAGCUGUGCCCUGGAGCUGUGCCCUACAGCCCCCGUGGGGUGGGCACGGGGAAAGGGCUGCCCGCGGCUCCUCAGCCGGGCGCUGCUCUGAACGGGCCCCCUGAGAUGCCUCACCCUGGACACGCCCCAGCGCCAGCCCCAAAGGACCCAAAGAAUCCAGCUGGCACUCGGCAGUGUCGGCACGGCGGGGCUGCAGAGCAGCGCGGGCAGCCAUUCCCAGGGCCCACCUCCCAGAGCUCCCCCGCGCCCCCCACGGGUGUCCCGCCCGCCCCAAAUCCCUGCCCUUCCAGCCGGAGGCCAGCAGCCAGCAGCAGCCUUAAAGCCAGGGCCAUGUGCCCUCAGCGGCACUAAAUCCCGAGCAAGAGCCCUCGGAGAUGCCUGAAAAGAAAAGAGGGUGCUUGGAGAAAGUUGGGCUUGGAUGCAAUUCGCAGUUUUUCGGGGACCCAACCGCACCUGCAGAACCCGUGGACAGCUGGAACAGGUGGGUCAGAGCCGAGGUGCCCUGAAGGCAGGGCUGUGCAUCCCUUUCCUCGGGGAAAAGAACUCCCCGGGGCCGCUCCCGAGGCUCGGAAGGGACAGCGGCUUCCCGCCCGGACAGACGUCCUCGCCCGUGCUCAGGGGCUGCCUCGCCCCGGGCCGGGAGCGCGUCCGGCCCCCGCCUUCUCCUGGGCCAACACAUCCCCUGGAGCCCGGCCCGGGGCGGAAAACCGGCCCAAUUCCAGGGAACUCGCUCAAGUCCCCCCAGGGACACCAGCGGGGCUGGGGGAGGAGGGUUAUAAACAGCAAAGUCUGUGGAAUAUCAACCUGUCCUUGUCCCGAUCCCGCUGAGCAAACCUGGAACCGUGGCUGCUUCCUGGCAAACCUGGCGUUAGAGCGGCAGCUCUGCGGGGGAACAGCCGGGCUCCAGGAGGCACUGGGAGGCUGUUCCAGCAGGAAUUCGGCAAGGAAUUGCGGGCUGUGAAUUGUGCACAAGCCAGUCCCCCAUUCCCUAUCCAGGCUGGGAGUGCUCGUGCCCUUGGCACAGAUGGCUCUGGCUGGGCAGGAACUGAGAGCAGGACGUGGGGCAGAGUGGAUCAGCUGCCCAGGGAACAUCCAGGAGAUGAAGCUACGGGAUCCUCAUUCCAAUCAAGGGAACACAUUCUGUCUCUGGCAGAAGCCGGGAGCCAAAGCAGAUCCCGCCUGGCCAGGCUGGGGGGCAGCAGUUGGAUCCACUCUGGGGGAAAGCCCCUGUGCCUGCCAGGAGCUCUGACUCUGUUUGUCCUGCCAGCUCUGACCAGUGUCAGGGCCACUGGGAGGGAUUCAGAAUCCACAGAAAUCCCAAAUCCUACUGAGGGACUCAAUCAAAGGAAGAAAGUAAUUUUUGUCAUAAAAAGCUUAAAAAAACUGUUAAAAAUUCUAGGACAGCAA